UAACGAUCCGGAAACGGGUGCUAAUACCGCAUAGUUUCUUGAUCGCAUGAUGAGAAAGGAAAGACGGCCUUGUGCUGUCGCUUAUGGAUGGACCCGCGGCGUAUUAGUUAGUUGGUGAGGUAACGGCUCACCAAGACGAUGAUACGUAGCCGACCUGAGAGGGUGAUCGGCCACAUUGGGACUGAGACACGGCCCAAACUCCUACGGGAGGCAGCAGUAGGGAAUCUUCCGCAAUGGACGAAAGUCUGACGGAGCAACGCCGCGUGAGUGAAGAAGGUUUUUUCCGGAUCGUAAAACUCUGUUGUCAGAGAAGAACUAAGUUGGGAGAGUAACUGCUCCAGCCUUGACGGUAUCUGACCAGAAAGCCACGGCUAACUACGUGCCAGCAGCCGC
Molecule: ribosomal RNA, 393 nt
Filed under: uncultured bacterium
Lineage: Bacteria
Description: bacterial SSU rRNA
Rfam family: Bacterial small subunit ribosomal RNA
Source: RNAcentral